This 25-nucleotide non-coding RNA is filed under the name Mus musculus (house mouse). The record is from RNAcentral. Lineage: Eukaryota; Metazoa; Chordata; Mammalia; Rodentia; Muridae. RNAcentral also lists the same sequence under 1 other name.
UGGUUCCAAGUAAGCAUCUCUUCCA